RNAcentral lists this ribosomal RNA (291 nucleotides) under uncultured Glomeraceae. RNAcentral's name for it is "partial small subunit ribosomal RNA". It matches the Rfam family "Eukaryotic small subunit ribosomal RNA", at positions 569 to 864 of the family's 1831-position model. Lineage: Eukaryota; Fungi; Glomeromycota; Glomeromycetes; Glomerales; Glomeraceae. The record is from RNAcentral.
AGCAGCCGCAGUAAUUCCAGCGCCAAUAGCGUAUAUUAAAGUUGUUGCAGUUAAAAAGCUCGUAGUUGAAUUUCGGGAUCAGUACACUGGUCGUGCCUUCGGUACGUACUGGUGUCACUGGUUUCUACCUUCUGACGAACCGUCAUGUCAUUAAUUUGGUGUGGCGGGGAAUCAGGACUGUUACUUUGAAAAAAUUAGAGUGUUUAAAGCAGGCUCGCGCUUGAAUACAUUAGCAUGGAAUAAUGAAAUAGGACGUUCGAUCCUAUUUUGUUGGUUUCUAGGAUUGACGUA